This 74-nucleotide transfer RNA is filed under the name Alistipes indistinctus. RNAcentral's name for it is "tRNA-Gln". It matches the Rfam family "tRNA". From Rfam's summary of the family: Transfer RNA (tRNA) molecules are approximately 80 nucleotides in length. Lineage: Bacteria; Pseudomonadati; Bacteroidota; Bacteroidia; Bacteroidales; Rikenellaceae. RNAcentral also lists the same sequence under 1 other name. The record is from RNAcentral.
UGACCCAUGGUGUAAUGGUAACACUGCAGAUUUUGGUUCUGUCAUUCCAGGUUCGAAUCCUGGUGGGUCAACAA